This 249-nucleotide long non-coding RNA is filed under the name Elaeis guineensis (African oil palm). Its description in RNAcentral is "long non-coding RNA (EGUI_LNC015297)". The record is from RNAcentral. Lineage: Eukaryota; Viridiplantae; Streptophyta; Magnoliopsida; Arecales; Arecaceae.
AUGUCCGAUUGCUAGAGAAGCUCAUCAGGAAAUCGAAAAGCGCUAUUGAAGGUUGUCCGAUAGAGGAGUCCGAAAAGUGUUGUAGGAGCUCGUCCGCCGGAGGAGCUCGACUGGCACUUGUAGAAGGCCGAUGGCUUAGAGAGGUACAGAAGACACCGGAGGUAGUCGGUCGCCGAAGAAAUCCGUCUGCUGGAGCCCAUCCGUUGUGAAAGCUCAUCUGAAAUCCACCUGUUGUAGAAGUUCGGACGG